Molecule: RNA transcript, 5155 nt
Organism: Prunus dulcis (almond)
Lineage: Eukaryota; Viridiplantae; Streptophyta; Magnoliopsida; Rosales; Rosaceae
Gene name: pleiotropic drug resistance protein 2-like
Exons: 20
Source: RefSeq, a predicted model, not a curated record
CCAAUGUGAAGCUUCCUUAAAUUCAAACCUGAAGUGCAGCCCUGCCGCUAUAAAUAUGGAAUUCACUAAUAUAACCCCCCAACGUCCAUUUUCUCUCAUCACCUUCCCCAAAAAUCUCCCCCCACACCACUCACUCUCUCUCUCUAUCUCUCCUUUGUGACGCGGCCAGUCAUGGCCGCCACAACAGCUACAUGCGACGUCCUAUGGCCAGCGAUGCUUUGUUAAGGUUGUUAUAACAUUCGAAGUACCGGCGUUUGAGUCCGUACAACGACUUUCUCUACUGGUCAAGAGCGUCUCUAAAACGUAGCUGUCACGAAAACUGCUCGUGGCGGCCGUCUUUAGAAAACCGUGGGGAAACCUCAAGUGAUUAACAGAACAGUCUGACUGUGUCGGAUUAGAUCGACACCGUUUUUGUUGGCGCGGUUGUUAGAAACCGUUGUCUUCUGUCUGUUGCGGCGGUUUUUAGAAAACAGUUGCGACUGUUGAGAGUACUUAAGGAGUUGUUAUACCGACAGUCGUGAUAAUAUCUGGAUCGAAAUGGCGGCGGCUUUAGCCGGGGAUGAUCUGGCGAGGUCGACCAGCAGCCGGAGGAGCUGGGCCUCUGGAAGCAAGCGGAGCUGGGCAUCCACGAGCUUCCGGGAGGUGUGGCAGGCGCCGCCGGACGUGUUCAGCCGGAGCGGGAGGCAGGAUGAGGAGGAAGAACUCCGGUGGGCCGCGAUCGAGCGGCUGCCGACUUAUGAUCGGCUGAGAAGAGGGAUGCUGAGGCAGGUGCUUGACAAUGGCAAAGUGGUGACUGAUGACGUGGAUGUGACCAAGCUGGGAAUGCAGGAUAAGAAGCAUUUGAUGGAGAGCAUAUUGAAGGUUGUGGAAGAUGACAAUGAAAGGUUUUUGAGGAGACUUAGGGACAGAACUGAUAGGGUGGGGAUUGAGAUUCCGAAGAUUGAAGUUCGGUUCGAGAAGCUGUCCAUCGAAGGAGAUGUGUAUGUGGGGAGCAGAGCACUGCCUACUCUGCUUAAUGCUACCUUGAACACUAUUGAGAGUGUUCUGGGAUUGCUUAAGCUUGCUCCAUCAAAGAAGAGAAAUAUCCAGAUACUUAAAGACGUUAGUGGAAUAGUGAGACCCUCCAGGAUGACCCUACUUCUGGGUCCUCCAGGUGCAGGCAAAACAACCUUGUUACUGGCACUUGCAGGGAAGCUUGAUGAUGACCUAAGGGUGUCUGGGAAAAUCACCUACUGUGGUCAUGAGUUGAAUGAGUUUGUUCCUAAGAGGACAUGUGCUUAUAUCAGUCAACAUGAUCUUCACUAUGGAGAAAUGACAGUGAGAGAGACAUUAGAUUUCUCGGGACGGUGUUUGGGUGUGGGAAGUAGAUAUCAAAUGUUGGCAGAACUCUCAAGAAGAGAGAAAGAAGCAGGAAUUAAGCCAGACCCUGAGAUUGAUGCAUUCAUGAAAGCCACCUCAGUGUCAGGCCAGAAGACUAGUUUGGUCACAGAUUAUGUUCUCAAGAUACUUGGAUUGGAUAUCUGUGCUGAUAUUAUGGUUGGUGAUGAUAUGAGAAGGGGUAUUUCUGGCGGACAGAAAAAGCGUGUGACGACUGGGGAGAUGUUGGUAGGACCAGCAAAGGUUCUUUUGAUGGAUGAAAUUUCAACAGGGUUAGACAGUUCCACUACCUUUCAGAUAUGCAGAUACAUGAGGCAAUUGGUUCACAUAAUGGAUGUAACCAUGGUCAUCUCUCUUCUUCAGCCAGCACCAGAGACAUUUGAGCUGUUUGAUGACCUUAUCUUACUUUCCGAAGGUCAGAUUGUGUACCAAGGCCCGCGCGAGAGCGUCCUAGAGUUCUUUGAAUACAUGGGCUUCAAAUGCCCUGAAAGGAAAGGAGUUGCUGACUUUUUGCAAGAAGUAACAUCCAAGAAGGACCAAGAACAAUAUUGGUUUAAGAAGGACCAACCUUAUAGAUAUAUUGCAGUUCCUGAGUUUGUUGAAUCCUUCAGCUUUUUUCGCACUGGCCAACAGCUUGCAGCUGAUCUUGGAGUUCCUUAUGACAAGUCCAGGGCUCAUCCAGCUGCACUGGUAACUGAGAAAUAUGGUAUUUCAAACUGGGAAUUGUUCAAGGCAUGUUUUUCAAGGGAGUGGCUGCUAAUGAAGCGCAAUUCUUUCGUAUACGUGUUCAAGACCACCCAGAUAACAAUCAUGUCACUGAUUGCCCUGACUGUGUUCCUUAGGACAGAAAUGCCGGUGGGCACAGUACAAGAUGGAGGAAAAUUUUUCGGUGCACUGUUUUUCAGUCUGAUUAAUGUGAUGUUUAAUGGUAUGGCUGAACUGGCAAUGACAGUUUUCAGGCUUCCUGUUUUCUAUAAGCAGAGGGAUUUCUUGUUUUAUCCUGCAUGGGCUUUUGGUUUGCCUAUUUGGGUCCUCAGGAUCCCCCUAUCAUUUAUGGAAUCAUGGAUAUGGAUCAUUCUUACCUAUUACACCAUUGGAUUUGCUCCAGCUGCUAGCAGAUUUUUCAAACAGUUCUUGGCAUUCUUUGGCAUACAUCAGAUGGCUCUGUCACUCUUUCGGUUCAUUGCCGCACUGGGAAGAACACAAGUUGUUGCAAAUACACUUGGCACCUUUACUUUGCUAAUGGUAUUUGUGCUGGGAGGAUUUAUUGUUGCCAAAAACGACAUUGAGCCUUGGAUGUUAUGGGGCUACUAUGUCUCUCCUAUGAUGUAUGGACAGAAUGCAAUCGUCAUGAAUGAAUUUCUCGAUAAAAGAUGGAGUGCGCCAAAUCCAGAUCCGAGAAUUAAUGAAACUACAGUUGGGAGAGUCCUCCUCAAGUCUAGAGGAUUCUUCACAGAUGAAUAUUGGUAUUGGAUAUGUGUUGGAGCACUAUUUGGGUUUUCUUUUCUCUUCAACAUUUUCUUCAUUGCAGCAUUGACUUUUCUGAACCCUCUUGGAGAUACAAAAGCUGUCAUAGCUGAUGAUGAAAGCGAGGGAAAGAGAAAGAAGACAUCAAGUGAAGAUAUAGAUAUGGCAGUGAAAAGUUAUUCAGAAAUUGUUGGUGGUUCAGAUCAUGCACCAAAGAAAGGAAUGGUUUUGCCCUUCCAACCCCUUUCACUUGCGUUUAACCAUGUGAACUACUACGUGGAUAUGCCUGCUGAAAUGAAGAGUCAAGGAGUUGAAGAAGAUCGCCUUCAACUGCUACGAGAUGUCAGCGGUGCUUUUAGACCAGGCAUAUUGACAGCACUUGUAGGUGUUAGUGGUGCUGGAAAGACAACUCUUAUGGACGUCUUAGCGGGAAGAAAGACUGGUGGCUAUAUUGAAGGGAGCAUUAGCAUCUCUGGUUAUCCAAAGAACCAAGAAACAUUUGCUCGUGUUAGCGGUUAUUGUGAACAGAAUGACAUUCAUUCUCCUCAUGUUACUGUCUACGAAUCUCUCCUGUAUUCAGCCUGGCUCCGUCUUACUUCAGAUGUAAAGACACAAACACGAAAGAUGUUUGUUGAAGAAGUCAUGGAACUGGUUGAGCUUAACCCAAUAAGAGAUGCUCUCGUUGGCCUUCCAGGAAUAGAUGGUCUUUCAACAGAACAAAGGAAGAGAUUAACCAUAGCUGUGGAGCUGGUUGCCAACCCCUCUAUCAUUUUCAUGGAUGAACCAACAUCUGGGCUUGAUGCCAGGGCUGCUGCUAUCGUUAUGCGUACUGUGAGAAACACAGUGGACACGGGGAGAACUGUCGUCUGCACAAUUCACCAGCCAAGUAUAGAUAUUUUCGAAGCUUUCGAUGAGUUACUUCUGAUGAAACGUGGAGGACAAGUCAUUUAUGCUGGACCUCUCGGUCGCCAAUCUCACAAGCUUGUAGAAUAUUUUGAAGCCGUCCCAGGGGUCACUAAGAUCAAAGAUGGUUACAAUCCUGCUACAUGGAUGCUUGAGGUCACUGCUCCUGCAGUUGAGGCUCAACUUGAUGUGGACUUUGCAGACAUUUAUGCCAAGUCCUCACUUUACCAGAGGAACCAGGAGCUUAUCCAAGAUCUUAGUACUGCGGCGCCAGGGUCCAAGGAUCUCUACUUCCCAACCAAAUACUCCCAACCUUUCUCUGUUCAGUGCAAAGCCUCUUUCUGGAAAAUGCAUUGGUCUUAUUGGAGAAACCCUCAGUACAAUGCCAUUCGAUUCUUCAUGACAAUAGUCAUUGGUUGUUUAUUUGGUCUUAUCUUCUGGCAAAAGGGACAGCAGACAACCCAACAGCAAGAUCUCAUGAACCUUUUGGGAGCCAUGUAUGCUGCUGUGCUUUUCCUUGGAGCCACCAAUGCUUCCGCGGUCCAAUCUGUUGUUGCUAUCGAAAGAACAGUUUUCUACCGCGAAAGAGCUGCUGGGAUGUAUUCUGAACUGCCUUAUGCAUUUGCUCAGGUGGCCAUAGAGACAAUCUAUGUUGCAAUUCAAACUUUUAUUUACACUCUUCUCCUCUAUUCUAUGAUUGGAUUUGAGUGGAAAGUAGGCAAAUUCCUGUGGUUCUACUACUACAUUCUAAUGUGCUUCGUCUACUUCACAAUGUAUGGUAUGAUGGUGGUUGCACUAACUCCAGGCCACCAGAUUGCUGCCAUUGUUAUGUCCUUCUUCCUCAGUUUCUGGAACUUGUUUUCUGGCUUUCUCAUUCCUAGGCCGCAAAUUCCUAUCUGGUGGAGGUGGUACUACUGGGCUUCACCUGUGGCCUGGACACUUUAUGGCCUUGUGACCUCUCAAGUGGGUGACAAAAAUGCUGAUCUUGUGCUACCUGGAUAUGGUACCAUGCCAUUGAAGAAGUUCCUCAAGGAUAACUUGGGUUUUGAGCAUGACUUCCUGCCAGCUGUCGCCGCGGCACACGUUGGCUGGGUUCUGCUUUUCUUCUUUGUGUUUGCCUAUGGAAUCAAGUUCCUCAACUUCCAAAGGAGGUAAAUAAACAGCUUCACUUCUACAAUUCUCAGUCUUAGAGAAAUAGGAUAGCAUUUUCAGUUAGUCAAGGAUGAGGGAAACAAAACAGUUGCCCAUUUUUGUGUAUUAUGGUAUUCUUUUGUCCUGGUUUUUCUACAUGAGCGGCUACAGUUCAGGUAUAAUAGGCACAGGCAAAAUGCUUUGAUGUAAACAGAGUAUUGUUUGUAAUAUAUAAUUUACUGUAUCCAAAAUGAGAUGUAUUAUUUUUUCUUGAUCA